GGCACCUGGAUGUGGGUUUUGCGCGGUAACGCAACUGAACACGGAGACGACGGCGGGGGCCCCGGGCAGAGUUCUCUUUUCUUCUUAACGGUCCAUCACCCUGAAAACAGUUUGUCUGGAGAUAGGGUUUAACGGCCGGAAGAGCCCGACACUUCUGUCGGGUCCGGUGCGCUCUCGACGUCCCUUGAAAAUCCGUGGGAGGGAAUAAUUCUCACGCCARGUCG
This 224-nucleotide ribosomal RNA is filed under the name Trichophyton yaoundei. Its description in RNAcentral is "partial 28S ribosomal RNA". It matches the Rfam family "Eukaryotic large subunit ribosomal RNA", at positions 1620 to 1845 of the family's 3401-position model. Lineage: Eukaryota; Fungi; Ascomycota; Eurotiomycetes; Onygenales; Arthrodermataceae. The record is from RNAcentral.